This is a non-coding RNA of Macaca mulatta (Rhesus monkey), 1184 nucleotides long. The record is from RefSeq and is a predicted model, not a curated record. NCBI's taxonomy places the organism in Eukaryota, Metazoa, Chordata, Mammalia, Primates, Cercopithecidae.
ACCUCCGCCUCUGCAUUCAAGUGAUUCUCCUGCCUCAGCCUCCCAAGUAGCUGGGACUACAGAUCCCCAAAGAUACUGGGAAAGCUCUGGUGGCAGAUCUCUUCUUCCAAGGAAGCCUCCUUAACUCUCCAUGAUCGCAGCAAGGGGACACAAAGUGAAGAAGGCCUUUGGGGACCCCUGUGUCUUUCCCUUCUUUGCCUGAACAGCGUUACGUUUGCUCACAUGUGUGUAUUUUUGCUUUGACAUUGGAUGUGGGGCAGGGGUUUGGGGAGCACAGUGAGGAGGUAUAUGGUGUGUGUGUGUGUGUGUGUCUGAGAGGCUGACUGAUGAUGAGCCUGGGGGCCUGGUGGCAGCUGUCCUGGUCAUCCCUGGCAUAUCCUUGGGGCAGGUGGCAGAUCUGAAGUCACAGAUACAUAGAGCAAGAAUGGGCCUUUAGUGCUUAUCUGGGUCAAUCCACAUGCUUACAUGGGGGGAAAAUUAAGGGCCAGAGAGGCCAUGCAGCAAGGAAUUCCGGAAUCCAGUCCUGGAUUCUAGAUGGGUGCCCUUCCCAUGCAUGCGAGUGGUGUGUGCGUGUGUGUGUGUGUGUGUAUGCAUGCAUGUGUGUGUUCAUGUGUGUGCUGUGUUGGAAGGGUCUGAAUGAACACAAAGGCCAGUGUGGAGUUGUUGUGGUCCAUGGCUGUGGAGGGCAUGACUCAAUUUCCUUUGAGCCAUGCCCCUGGCUAUGUAUGGGAUGGAAGGGUUGAGACUGAGUGUGUCCCUGUGAGUGACUGCGGUGCUGGGCUAAGUGGACUGUGUAUGUGUGUGUGAACGUGCAUGCAUGCGUGCGCGUGGGGCAUGUGGUCUCUUUGUUGGAUUCUGUCUUCCCCCAUUCACAGCACCUUCCUGGUCUGAGGAAGCCACCUUUCCAUCACAGAGACCUCCUGCAGCUCACUAGGACCUUCCCCUACUCCCUCCAACCUUCAAGCCCAGCUCUCACCUCUCACGACGGUUUUGCUUUGUUUUUGUAAAUGGAUUUGUAUAUUCGUUUUCUGUUUUUUUUUUUCUUUACAAGUUCCCUGCUAAAUUUUAAGUCCCCCACCCCACCCCAUUUUUUGUUUUCACAGUUUAAAGCUGGAAAAGAAUUAAAAGAAAAAUACUAUCUGAUUUUCUUGCAAGUAAAUCCACUUAUUUUAUAUUUACAUUUA